GUCAUCGUGGCCGAGUGGUUAAGGCGACAGACUUGAAAUCUGUUGGACUCUGCCCGCACAGUUUCGAAUCCUGUCGGCGACG
Molecule: transfer RNA, 82 nt
Filed under: Ciona intestinalis (vase tunicate)
Lineage: Eukaryota; Metazoa; Chordata; Ascidiacea; Phlebobranchia; Cionidae
Description: tRNA-Ser (TGA) (tRNA-Ser-TGA-5-1)
Rfam family: tRNA
About the family: Transfer RNA (tRNA) molecules are approximately 80 nucleotides in length. Their secondary structure includes four short double-helical elements and three loops (D, anti-codon, and T loops).
Source: Rfam by way of RNAcentral